RNAcentral lists this transfer RNA (80 nucleotides) under Treponemataceae bacterium. RNAcentral describes it as "tRNA-Leu". It matches the Rfam family "tRNA". Rfam says of the family: Transfer RNA (tRNA) molecules are approximately 80 nucleotides in length. Their secondary structure includes four short double-helical elements and three loops (D, anti-codon, and T loops). The record is from RNAcentral. Lineage: Bacteria; Pseudomonadati; Spirochaetota; Spirochaetia; Treponematales; Treponemataceae.
GCGAGAGUGGUGAAAUGGCAGACACGCCAGACUUAGGAUCUGGUGCCCUAGGCGUGCGGGUUCAAGUCCCGCCUCUCGCA